Molecule: ribosomal RNA, 253 nt
Filed under: uncultured bacterium
Lineage: Bacteria
Description: partial 16S ribosomal RNA
Rfam family: Bacterial small subunit ribosomal RNA
Source: RNAcentral
UACGUAGGGGGCAAGCGUUGUCCGGAAUUAUUGGGCGUAAAGAGCGUGUAGGCGGCCAGGUAGGUCUGCUGUGAAAACUCGAGGCUCAACCUCGAGAUGUCGGCGGAAACCAUCUGGCUAGAGUCCGGAAGAGGAGAGUGGAAUUCCUGGUGUAGCGGUGAAAUGCGCAGAUAUCAGGAAGAACACCCGUGGCGAAGGCGGCUCUCUGGGACGGUACUGACGCUGAGACGCGAAAGCGUGGGGAGCAAACAGG